Molecule: ribosomal RNA, 320 nt
Filed under: uncultured eukaryote
Lineage: Eukaryota
Description: partial 18S ribosomal RNA
Rfam family: Eukaryotic small subunit ribosomal RNA
Source: RNAcentral
CCCCUAGAUGUUCUGGGCCGCACGCGCGCUACACUGAACAGUUCAACAAGUCUUAACCUUGGCCGAUAGGUCUGGGUAAUCUUUGAACGCUGUUCGUGAUUGGGAUAGACCUUUGCAAUUAUGGGUCUUCAACGAGGAAUUCCUAGUAAACGCAAGUCAUCAGCUUGCAUUGGUUACGUCCCUGCCCUUUGUACACACCGCCCGUCGCACCUACCGAUUGAAUGGUCCGGUGAAAUCUCGGGACGGCGGCUUGGUCGCUUGCGUCCGACUGCUGAAACUUGAUUAAACCAUAUCAUUUAGAGGAAGGUGAAGUCGUAACA